This 59-nucleotide microRNA precursor is filed under the name Anolis carolinensis (green anole). RNAcentral's name for it is "Aca-Mir-5452_pre stem-loop". Lineage: Eukaryota; Metazoa; Chordata; Lepidosauria; Squamata; Anolidae. The record is from RNAcentral.
UGGCCCUCCUGUUGCUGCUGGAGUCCAGCUCUCAAUCCAACAACAGCCGGAGGGCUGGA